AUGAACGCUGGCGGCGUGCCUAAUACAUGCCAGUCGAGCGAACAGACGAGGAGCUUGCUCCUCUGACGUUAGCGGCGGACGGGUGAGUAACACGUGGAUAACCUACCUAUAAGACUGGGAUAACUUCGGGAAACCGGAGCUAAUACCGGAUAAUAUAUUGAACCGCAUGGUUCAAUAGUGAAAGACGGUUUUGCUGUCACUUAUAGAUGGAUCCGCGCCGCAUUAGCUAGUUGGUAAGGUAACGGCUUACCAAGGCAACGAUGCGUAGCCGACCUGAGAGGGUGAUCGGCCACACUGGAACUGAGACACGGUCCAGACUCCUACGGGAGGCAGCAGUAGGGAAUCUUCCGCAAUGGGCGAAAGCCUGACGGAGCAACGCCGCGUGAGUGAUGAAGGUCUUCGGAUCGUAAAACUCUGUUAUUAGGGAAGAACAAAUGUGUAAGUAACUAUGCACGUCUUGACGGCACCUAAUCAGAAAGCCACGGCUAACUACGUG
This 496-nucleotide ribosomal RNA is filed under the name uncultured bacterium. RNAcentral describes it as "partial 16S ribosomal RNA". It matches the Rfam family "Bacterial small subunit ribosomal RNA", at positions 29 to 507 of the family's 1533-position model. The record is from RNAcentral.